GACGAACGCUGGCGGCGUGCUUAACACAUGCAAGUCGAACGGAAAGGCCUGCUUUCCCUUGUGGAUUGCGGGUACUCGAGUGGCGAACGGGUGAGUAACACGUGAGUGAUCUGCCCCCAACUUGGGUAUAAGCCUGGGAAACUGGGUCUAAUUCCCGAUAGGACUGCAGGGUGGUGCCUGUGGUGGAAAACGAUUUUCUAGUGGUUGGGGAUGAGCUCGCGGCCUAUCAGCUUGUUGGUGGGGUAAUGGCCUACCAAGGCGGCGACGGGUAGCCGGCCUGAGAGGGUGGACGGCCACAUUGGGACUGAGAUACGGCCAGACGCCUACGGGAGGCAGCAGUGGGGAAUAUUGCACAAUGGGCGGAAGCCUGAUGCAGCGACGCCGCGUGGGGGAUGACGGCCUUCGGGUGGUAAACUCCUUUCGACCGCGAGGAAGCCACCUGGUUGGAAGGGUGGUGACGGUAGUGGUAGAAGAAGCACCGGCUAACUACGUG
RNAcentral lists this ribosomal RNA (493 nucleotides) under uncultured bacterium. Its description in RNAcentral is "partial 16S ribosomal RNA". It matches the Rfam family "Bacterial small subunit ribosomal RNA", at positions 28 to 507 of the family's 1533-position model. The record is from RNAcentral.